This 434-nucleotide ribosomal RNA is filed under the name uncultured soil bacterium. RNAcentral's name for it is "bacterial SSU rRNA". It matches the Rfam family "Bacterial small subunit ribosomal RNA", at positions 383 to 810 of the family's 1533-position model. The record is from RNAcentral.
GUGACUAUGCGACGCCGCGUGGAGGAUGAAGGCCUUCGGGUUGUAAACUCCUGUCAGGGGGGGAGAAACCUUACGUGUUAACAGCGCGUAAGCUGACAUCACCCCCAAAGGAAGCCACGGCUAACUCUGUGCCAGCAGCCGCGGCAAGACAGAGGUGGCAAGCGUUGUUCGGAUUUAUUGGGUGUAAAGGGCAGGUAGGCCGUUGUAUAAGUCCGGUGUGAAAUCCCACGGCUCAACCGUGGAACGGCAUUGGAUACUGUAUGACUUGAGUGUCGGAGAGGUGAGGGGAAUUCUCGGUGUAAGGGUGAAAUCUGUAGAUAUCGAGAGGAACACCAGUGGCGAAGGCGCCUCACUGGCCGACAACCGACGCUGAGGCGCGAAAGCUAGGGGAGCAAACGGGAUUAGAUACCCCGGUAGUCCUAGCCGUAAACGAU